CUCCUUCCUCCCUCCGGCGGCAGAUCUGCAGCAGAUCUGACCCAGCCCGGCCACCACCGCCCCCAUCCAAAGAUCUGGCGUGUGGCGGCCCCCUCCUCGGAGCUCGGCGCCACGGUGAGAUCCCGGUGUGGACUCGCAGGAGGCAGCGUCGUCGGCGGUCAUCGCCAUCGUCGUCCUCGAGCUAUGCGGCCUUGCCGUCGUCCCCGAGACGCGCGCCGUCACCAUGGGUCGUCCCCAUCGCCAUCCCCUCAUGGUCGCGUGACUCGGAUCGUCGUCCUCGUCCUCGAGCCGGAGAUACCGAUGUGCCAAUUUUUCCCAUCUUGUUAGGGAUAAGAUUCAGAUUCACAGGGACUUGAUUCAUCAGCAGUUCAGCACCCCCAGUUUUGCUUAUAAGUCAGAUGAUGGAGUAGUCCAAUAUUAUUAAGUUAAAGCUGCAAGCACGCACUGAACAUUGUACGAACGGUUCAUAUUUGAAUUGAAAGAUUUGAUACAAGUGGUAAGCAAGAUAGUUAGAUAUAAUAUGGCCUUUAGUCUUUUACUUGCAUUUAUAUGUUUAUCAAAAUAACAAGCACUUUGAGGACGAUGGAAUAGCAAUGAUCUUUUAUUCUUUCAUUUUUGUAGCA
This is a long non-coding RNA of Panicum virgatum (switchgrass), 623 nucleotides long. RefSeq lists it as uncharacterized. The transcript has 4 exons. The record is from RefSeq and is a predicted model, not a curated record. NCBI's taxonomy places the organism in Eukaryota, Viridiplantae, Streptophyta, Magnoliopsida, Poales, Poaceae.